This 266-nucleotide unclassified non-coding RNA is filed under the name Hevea brasiliensis (rubber tree). The record is from RNAcentral. Lineage: Eukaryota; Viridiplantae; Streptophyta; Magnoliopsida; Malpighiales; Euphorbiaceae.
ACUUGCAUGGCAAUGGCAACAACCAUAAAAAGAUAGAAAAAAAGGCAGAGUCAUUUUAUCGUUUGUACUGACGGAUGCCAAGUAUGAUGAAGGUGAGGUUGGAUAUUUACGGAUGGAACUGGAGGAUAGGCAUGUCAAUAAUAUCUAAGGGGCACUAAGAAUGCCACCAUUUGAACUGGGUAUUUUGAUAGCCCCCCUCAAUAUAUUUGAUGGUAGACUGCUCUUAUUCGAUCCGUGUAAGUUUUCGGGUGAUUCAAGUACUCGAG